AUUGAACGCUGGCGGCAGGCCUAACACAUGCAAGUCGAGCGGAUGAAGGGUGCUUUCUCCUGGAUUCAGCGGCGGACGGGUGAGUAAUGCCUAGGAAUCUGCCUGGUAGUGCUGUAUAACGUCCUGAAACGGGCGCUACUACCGCCUACGUCCUGCUGGAGCAGCUUGGUGAUCUUCGGACCUCACGCUCUCAGAUGAGCCUAGGUGGGGUUAGCUGGUUGGUGGGUUAAAUGCCUACCAAGCCGACGAUCGGUGACUGGUCUGAGAGGGUGGUCAGUCACACUGGAACUGAGACACCGUCCAGAGGCCUGAGGGAGGCAGCAGUGGGGAAUAGUGGGCAAUGGGGGGAAGCCUGACCCAGCGAGGGCGAGUGUGUGGAGAAGGUGCUCGGAUUGGGAAGCACUUUUAGGGGGGAGGAAGGGCAGUAAGUUAAUACCUUGCUGGUGUGACGGUACCAACAGAAGAAGCACCGGCUAACUACGUG
RNAcentral lists this ribosomal RNA (484 nucleotides) under uncultured bacterium. RNAcentral's name for it is "partial 16S ribosomal RNA". It matches the Rfam family "Bacterial small subunit ribosomal RNA", at positions 30 to 507 of the family's 1533-position model. The record is from RNAcentral.